GAGGAAUAAGCAUCGGCUAACUCCGUGCCAGCAGCCGCGGUAAUACGGGGGAUGCAAGCGUUAUCCGGAAUCAUUGGGCGUAAAGCGCCUGUAGGUUGUUUAAUAAGUCUGUUGUUAAAGACUAGGGCUUAACCCUAGGAAAGCAAUGGAAACUACUAGACUAGAGUAUGGUAGGGGUAGAGGGAAUUUCUAGUGUAGCGGUGAAAUGCGUAGAUAUUAGAAAGAACACCGGUGGCGAAGGCGCUCUACUGGACCAUUACUGACACUCAGAGGCGAAAGCUAGGGUAGCAAAAGGGAUUAGAUACCCCUGUAGUCCUAGCCGUAAACGAUGGAUACUAGAUGUUGCGUUUUUAUGCAGUAUCCUAGCUAACGCGUUAAGUAUCCCGCCUGGGGAGUACGCUCGCAAGGGUGAAACUCAAAGGAAUUGACGGGGGCCCGCACAAGCGGUGGAGCAUGUGGUUUAAUUCGAUGCAACGCGAAGAACCUUACCAAGGCUUGACAUACUACAGAUCUCUUUGAGAAAGGAGAGUGCCUUCGGGAAUGUAGAUACAGGUGGUGCAUGGCUGUCGUCAGCUCGUGUCGUGAGAUGUUGGGUUAAGUCCCGCAACGAGCGCAACCCUUAUUUUUAGUUACCAAUUUUUUGGGUUUUCUAGAGAGACUGCCGGUGACAAACCGGAGGAAGGUGAGGAUGACGUCAAGUCAGCAUGCCCCUUAUGCCUUGGGCUACACACGUGCUACAAUGGCUAAGACAAAGAGUUGCGAACUUGCGAAAGUCAGCUAAUCUCAUAAACUUAGCCUAAGUUCGGAUUGUAGGCUGCAACUCGCCUGCAUGAAG
Molecule: ribosomal RNA, 835 nt
Filed under: Haptophyta environmental samples
Lineage: Eukaryota; Haptophyta
Description: bacterial SSU rRNA
Rfam family: Bacterial small subunit ribosomal RNA
Source: RNAcentral